UAAAGAAUUUCGGUUAUCGAUGGGGAUGCGUUCCAUUAGUUAGUUGGCGGGGUAACGGCCCACCAAGACGACGAUGGAUAGGGGUUCUGAGAGGAAGGUCCCCCACAUUGGAACUGAGACACGGUCCAAACUCCUACGGGAGGCAGCAGUGAGGAAUAUUGGUCAAUGGACGAGAGUCUGAACCAGCCAAGUAGCGUGAAGGAUGACUGCCCUAUGGGUUGUAAACUUCUUUUAUAUGGGAAUAAAACAGGGUAUGCAUACCCUCUUGUAUGUACCAUAUGAAUAAGGAUCGGCUAACUCCGUGCCAGCAGCCGCGGUAAUACGGAGGAUCCGAGCGUUAUCCGGAUUUAUUGGGUUUAAAGGGAGCGUAGGUGGAUUGUUAAGUCAGUUGUGAAAGUUUGCGGCUCAACCGUAAAAUUGCAGUUGAAACUGGCAGUCUUGAGUACAGUAGAGGUGGGCGGAAUUCGUGGUGUAGCGGUGAAAUGCUUAGAUAUCACGAAGAACUCCGAUUGCGAAGGCAGCUCACUGGACUGCAACUGACACUGAUGCUCGAAAGUGUGGGUAUCAAACAGGAUUAGAUACCCUGGUAGUCCACACAGUAAACGAUGAAUACUCGCUGUUUGCGAUAUA
Molecule: ribosomal RNA, 630 nt
Filed under: uncultured bacterium
Lineage: Bacteria
Description: bacterial SSU rRNA
Rfam family: Bacterial small subunit ribosomal RNA
Source: RNAcentral